This 495-nucleotide ribosomal RNA is filed under the name uncultured bacterium. Its description in RNAcentral is "partial 16S ribosomal RNA". It matches the Rfam family "Bacterial small subunit ribosomal RNA", at positions 28 to 507 of the family's 1533-position model. The record is from RNAcentral.
GACGAACGCUGGCGGCGUGCCUAAUACAUGCAAGUAGAACGCUGAAGGAGGAGCUUGCUUCUCUGGAUGAGUUGCGAACGGGUGAGUAACGCGUAGGUAACCUGCCUGGUAGCGGGGGAUAACUAUUGGAAACGAUAGCUAAUACCGCAUAAUAUUGACUAUUGCAUGAUAGUCAGUUGAAAGGUGCAACUGCACCACUACCAGAUGGACCUGCGUUGUAUUAGCUAGUUGGUGGGGUAACGGCUCACCAAGGCGACGAUACAUAGCCGACCUGAGAGGGUGAUCGGCCACACUGGGACUGAGACACGGCCCAGACUCCUACGGGAGGCAGCAGUAGGGAAUCUUCGGCAAUGGACGGAAGUCUGACCGAGCAACGCCGCGUGAGUGAAGAAGGUUUUCGGAUCGUAAAGCUCUGUUGUAAGAGAAGAACGAGUGUGAGAGUGGAAAGCUCACACUGUGACGGUAUCUGACCAGAAAGGGACGGCUAACUACGUG